GGGGAAUAUUGCACAAUGGGCGCAAGCCUGAUGCAGCCAUGCCGCGUGUGUGAAGAAGGCCUUUUGGUUGUAAAGCACUUUAAGCGAGGAGGAGGCUACUCUAGUUAAUACCUAGGGAUAGUGGACGUUACUCGCAGAAUAAGCACCGGCUAACUCUGUGCCAGCAGCCGCGGUAAUACAGAGGGUGCGAGCGUUAAUCGGAUUUACUGGGCGUAAAGCGUGCGUAGGCGGCUUUUUAAGUCGGAUGUGAAAUCCCUGAGCUUAACUUAGGAAUUGCAUUCGAUACUGGGAAGCUAGAGUAUGGGAGAGGAUGGUAGAAUUCCAGGCGUAGCGGUGAAAUGCGUAGAGAUCUGGAGGAAUACCGAUGGCGAAGGCAGCCAUCUGGCCUAAUACUGACGCUGAGGUACGAAAGCAUGGGGAGCAAAC
This 426-nucleotide ribosomal RNA is filed under the name uncultured bacterium. RNAcentral describes it as "bacterial SSU rRNA". It matches the Rfam family "Bacterial small subunit ribosomal RNA", at positions 356 to 773 of the family's 1533-position model. The record is from RNAcentral.